CGAAAGUUCGUUAGCGUGUCCGGAGCUUCGGUUUCGGCGCGUCGGCGAGUGCGCGUUCUUAUUUUCUAGCCGACUCGCCAGACGGUACGUAACGGUGAUCGCGGCGGCCUCAGCGUCGCCGCUCGACGCCUGUCUGCGACGAAUCUUCGAGUCUCUUUCCGACCCGUCUUGAAACACGGACCAAGGAGUCUAACGUGCGCGCGAGUCGCGGGGCAUCGAACGGUCGGCGUUCGCGUCGGCCGUUCGUUAUAAUACGAAACCCGUCUCGUUUUACGAAAGGCGCAAUGAAAGUGAAUUUUGGGGAAGAUGACGUUACCGAGUUCACGUUCCGCGCUCUUGUAGCGCGGCCGGUCGUCCGCAUUCCCAGGGUGUCUCAAAGUCCGAUUCUAUCGCGGACUGUCGCCUCUUCGGGGACGGCAGUCGGAUUCUAUCGAGCUGAGGCGCACCUAUAGCGUGCACGUUGGUACC
RNAcentral lists this ribosomal RNA (468 nucleotides) under Nipaecoccus graminis. Its description in RNAcentral is "eukaryotic LSU rRNA". It matches the Rfam family "Eukaryotic large subunit ribosomal RNA", at positions 575 to 816 of the family's 3401-position model. Lineage: Eukaryota; Metazoa; Arthropoda; Insecta; Hemiptera; Pseudococcidae. The record is from RNAcentral.